UACGUAGGGGGCAAGCGUUGUCCGGAUUUAUUGGGCGUAAAGAGCGUGUAGGCGGUUCGGUAGGUCCGUUGUGAAAACUCGAGCUCAACCUCGAGACGCCGAUGGAAACCCUCGAACUAGAGUCCGGAAGAGGGAGAAUGGAAUUCCUGGUGUAGCGGUGAAAUGCGCAGAUAUCAGGAAGAACACCCGUGGCUAAGGCGGUUCUCUAGUACGGUACUGACGCUGAGACGCGAAAGCGUGGGGAGCGAACAGG
This 253-nucleotide ribosomal RNA is filed under the name uncultured bacterium. RNAcentral's name for it is "partial 16S ribosomal RNA". It matches the Rfam family "Bacterial small subunit ribosomal RNA", at positions 524 to 776 of the family's 1533-position model. The record is from RNAcentral.